UACGUAGGGGCCAAGCGUUGUUCGGAUUUACUGGGCGUAAAGGGCGCGUAGGCGGCCACUGCAAGUCAGCUGUGAAAUCUCCGGGCUUAACUCGGAAAGGUCAACUGAUACUGUGCGACUAGAGUGCAGAAGGGGCAACUGGAAUUCUCGGUGUAGCGGUGAAAUGCGUAGAUAUCGAGAGGAACACCUGCGGCGAAGGCGGGUUGCUGGGCUGACACUGACGCUGAUGCGCGAAAGCCAGGGGAGCGAACGGG
This 254-nucleotide ribosomal RNA is filed under the name uncultured bacterium. Its description in RNAcentral is "partial 16S ribosomal RNA". It matches the Rfam family "Bacterial small subunit ribosomal RNA", at positions 524 to 776 of the family's 1533-position model. The record is from RNAcentral.